AGGAUGAAUGAAACAGACCAGGCAAUGGUCAGGGCAGGCAGCAAAGGAUCAAAAACCAGGUAAACAGUCCAAGGCAAAACA
Molecule: long non-coding RNA, 81 nt
Organism: Sinocyclocheilus rhinocerous
Lineage: Eukaryota; Metazoa; Chordata; Actinopteri; Cypriniformes; Cyprinidae
Exons: 3
Source: RefSeq, a predicted model, not a curated record